RNAcentral lists this unclassified non-coding RNA (279 nucleotides) under plant metagenome. RNAcentral describes it as "partial contains small subunit ribosomal RNA, internal transcribed spacer 1, and 5.8S ribosomal RNA". The record is from RNAcentral.
UUUCCGUAGGUGAACCUGCGGAAGGAUCAUUCAUGAAUUGUGUUUUAUGGCUGUUUUUUCUUUCCAUACCCACCUUGUGAGCAAUGUUCGGGAUGCCUUUUCUCUCGAGAGGGUAAGAUUAAAACAUUAACUAUGUCUUAACCUUUUGUCUGUAAACUAUUAAUUAUUCAAAAAUUCAUAAUACAAUUUUCAACAAAGGAACUUUUCGCUCUCGCAUCGAUGAACAACGCCGUCGAUCAGUAUAGCACACGUCUGGAAUCGCGUCCGUUUGUACGACAA